ACAAGGAUCCCUAGUAACUGCGAGUGAAGCGGGAAAAGCUCAAAUUUAAAAUCUGGUAGUCUUAUGGCUGCCCGAGUUGUAAUCUAGAGAAGUGUUACCCGCGUUGGACCGUGUACAAGUCUCCUGGAAAGGAGCAUCAUAGAGGGUGAGAAUCCCGUCUUUGACACGGACUGCCAGGGGCUUUGUGGUACACUCUCAAAGAGUCGAGUUGUUUGGGAAUGCAGCUCAAAAUGGGUGGUAAAUUCCAUCUAAAGCUAAAUAUUGGCGAGAGACCGAUAGCGAACAAGUACCGUGAGGGAAAGAUGAAAAGAACUUUGGAAAGAGAGUUAAACAGUACGUGAAAUUGCUGAAAGGGAAACGCUUGAAGUUAGUCGCGUUGGCUGGAAAUCAACCCUUUGGGUGUACUUUCUAGUUGACGGGUCAGCAUCAAUUUUGAUUGUUGGAUAAAGGCUUAGGGAAUGUGGCAUCUUCGGAUGUGUUAUAGCCCUAGGUUGCAUACAACAGUUGGGAUUGAGGAACUCAGCACGCCGAAAGGCCGGGUAUUUUACCACGAUUCGUGCUUAGGAUGCUGGCAUAAUAGCUUUAAUCGACCCGUCUUGAAACACGGACCAAGGAGUCUAACAUGCCUGCGAGUAUUUGGGUGGAAAACCCGGAUGCGUAAUGAAAGUGAAAGUUGAGAACCCUGUCGUGGGGUGCAUCGACGCCCGGACUUGAUGUUUACUGACGGUUCCGCGGUAGAGCAUGUAUGUUGGGACCCGAAAGAUGGUGAACUAUGCCUGAAUAGGGGUGAAGCCAGAGGAAACUACUGGUGGAGGCUCGUAGCGAUUUCUGACGUGCAAAUCGAUCGUCAAAUUUGGGUAUAGGGGCGAAAGACUAAUCGAACCAUCUAGUAGCUGGGUUCCUGCCGAAGU
Molecule: ribosomal RNA, 911 nt
Filed under: Crucibulum laeve
Lineage: Eukaryota; Fungi; Basidiomycota; Agaricomycetes; Agaricales; Nidulariaceae
Description: LSU rRNA
Rfam family: Eukaryotic large subunit ribosomal RNA
Source: RNAcentral